RNAcentral lists this long non-coding RNA (1207 nucleotides) under Heterocephalus glaber (naked mole-rat). RNAcentral's name for it is "lncRNA (ENSHGLG00100040791.1)". Lineage: Eukaryota; Metazoa; Chordata; Mammalia; Rodentia; Bathyergidae. The record is from RNAcentral.
CCAAGCUGGGGCUGCUGGGUAGCUGAGGGCAGCUGCCAUGGCUCAUAGGAAGAGGAGAGUGAAAGCAGGAAGGAGGCUUGAGGGGGCCGGCUCUGAGAGGCACAAGGCACAACCCAGGGAAAGGCCUCAGAAAAAGCCAGUGUUGCCAGGAAGAGGGAUGGAGGAAGCAAGAAGGAAAGAAUGAGCAAGAGGACCAUAAGGAGCAGAUGAGGAGAAACAUUGUACCAGCAACGCCCUGGCCCGGGCCUCAUCUGAGGGCCUGGUGGUGUGGAGGCAAAGGCGUCUUUGGAGGCGCUGCUCGCUGAGGCAGCCAAAGCCUUCCUUCCACCUGGCUGUCACUUGGAGAGCCUGUGAGGUCUUCAGAAGCUCCAGUGUCUUCCACCCUUGUGGCACAUUCCAAGUGUUCCAAAGGCACUCAAGGCUGCUGGCCAAUGUUGGGAGCAAGGUUUAAAAGUCAAAAACUCCACUGGGGCUGGGAAUUUAGCUCAGUGGUUUCUCUGUCUGCUGUGCAAGAGCAAGGACCCGAAGUUCGAUCCCCGUGUACAAAAAAAAAACCCUCCAUGACUCACUCUUCUAACAUUCCAGCAUGCCAGGCCUCUGAGGUUCCAAAAUUCUGCAGCGCGCUAACAUUUUGUAGCAUUACAACUGCGGUUCCGCCAGAUGAAAAUGUUUCAGUACACCCCAAGACUGCUUGUGAAGGCUUUUCCCCACGUGUCUCUGCGUGGAAAGAAGUCCGGACCCAUGGUGAGUCCUGGGGUGGGAGAGGGCAAGGAGCCCUGGCCCCACCAUCUUGCCCAGCCCAGCAGAGAAGGGGGCAGCCGCCACCGCACUGUGCCCCCAGCUCCUCCGCUCUCCGGCCCUGGGCACCAGGCUGGAAGUGACAACUCCUGCCUGAGUCCUCCUCCCUUCCUCUUGGUCUCUGUCCACUUUGGAGAGCCUCUGGGGCCUUCAGCAGCAGAUGGAGUUGGGGAGCAAAACCCCAGAUGGGCUCCCUCGAGCAUGGGACUGGUCUCCAUUUGCUCCGGACUGGAGCCUGGAGACCUGAGAGGGCAGAGGUCAGGGUCUCUGUGGGGCUUGGAAAGCCACAGGCCACACUGAGGGCACCGAUACAGGCCUUUCACAGUGCAGAUGGAGAAACGGAGACCUGAGAGCAAAGGGGUUUCCCAGCUGAGGCACAAGCUGACUCCUGCACUCUGCCAAAAGGGAC